Vicugna pacos (alpaca) is the source of this 234-nucleotide non-coding RNA. The record is from RefSeq and is a predicted model, not a curated record. Lineage: Eukaryota; Metazoa; Chordata; Mammalia; Artiodactyla; Camelidae.
CUUGGCUGGAGGCUCCAGGAAGACAACUGGGCAGUAGGGGAGACGUGCCAAUUGUUGCCAGACAUCCCCGUCACAUUUUGAAGAGAAUCUGGUUGGUGUAGCUAAUAAACAUUGGCUGUUUGACAGAGCCUUGCCAUUGGCUGCCUCAGGGCCUGGCACCCGGUGGUCUCUGUCAGUGUCGGCUGCUAUGGUCCUAAUGGAAGAGCCGGCGUGGAGACAAAGAAACAUGACGCA